CAGCAGCCGCGGGAAUACGUAGGGUGCGAGCGUUAAUCGGAUUUACUGGGCGUAAAGCGUGCGUAGGCGGCUAAUUGAGUCGGAUGUGAAAUCCCCGAGCUUAACUUGGGAAUUGCAUUCGAUACUGGUUAGCUAGAGUGUGGGAGAGGAUGGUAGAAUUCCAGGUGUAGCGGUGAAAUGCGUAGAGAUCUGGAGGAAUACCGAUGCGAAGGCAGCCAUCUGGCCUAACACUGACGCUGAGGUACGAAAGCAUGGGGAGCAAACAGGAUUAGAUACCCGAGUAGUCCCUGUCUCUUAUACA
This 301-nucleotide ribosomal RNA is filed under the name uncultured bacterium. Its description in RNAcentral is "partial 16S ribosomal RNA". It matches the Rfam family "Bacterial small subunit ribosomal RNA", at positions 509 to 808 of the family's 1533-position model. The record is from RNAcentral.